RNAcentral lists this ribosomal RNA (459 nucleotides) under uncultured bacterium. RNAcentral describes it as "partial 16S ribosomal RNA". It matches the Rfam family "Bacterial small subunit ribosomal RNA", at positions 338 to 795 of the family's 1533-position model. The record is from RNAcentral.
CCUACGGGAGGCAGCAGUAGGGAAUAUUGCUCAAUGGGGGAAACCCUGAAGCAGCAACGCCGCGUGGAGGAUGAAGGUUUUCGGAUUGUAAACUCCUUUUGUCGGGGAGCAAGGCCCGCCACGUGUGGCGGGAAGGAGAGUACCCGAAGAAAAAGCAUCGGCUAACUCCGUGCCAGCAGCCGCGGUAAUACGGCGGAUGCGAGCGUUAUCCGGAUUUAUUGGGUUUAAAGGGUGCGUAGGCGGAAGGUUAAGUCAGCGGUCAGAUGUCGGUGCUCAACACCGGCCUGCCGUGGAAACUGGUCUGCUUGAGUGAGCGAGAAGUAUGCGGAAUUCGUGGUGUAGCGGUGAAAUGCUGAGAUAUCACGAAGAACUCCGAUUGCGAAGGCAGUUCACUGGACUGCAACUGACACUGAGGCUCGAAAGUGUGGGUAUCAAACAGGAUUAGAUACCCCGGUAGUC